CCUACGGGAGGCAGCAGUGGGGGAUAUUGCACAAUGGGGGAAACCCUGAUGCAGCGACGCCGCGUGGGUGAAGAAGUAUUUCGGUAUGUAAAGCCCUAUCAGCAGGGAAGAAAGAAGACGGUACCUGACUAAGAAGCCCCGGCUAACUACGUGCCAGCAGCCGCGGUAAUACGUAGGGGGCGAGCGUUAUCCGGAUUCACUGGGUGUAAAGGGAGCGUAGACGGCCGUGCAAGCCAGGAGUGAAAGCCCGGGGCCCAACCCCGGGACUGCUCUUGGAACUGUCCAGCUGGAGUGCAGGAGAGGUAAGCGGAAUUCCUAGUGUAGCGGUGAAAUGCGUAGAUAUUAGGAGGAACACCAGUGGCGAAGGCGGCUUACUGGACUGUAACUGACACUGAGGCACGAAAGCGUGGGGAGCAAACAGGAUUAGAUACCCCUGUAGUC
This 441-nucleotide ribosomal RNA is filed under the name uncultured bacterium. RNAcentral's name for it is "partial 16S ribosomal RNA". It matches the Rfam family "Bacterial small subunit ribosomal RNA", at positions 338 to 795 of the family's 1533-position model. The record is from RNAcentral.